Molecule: ribosomal RNA, 465 nt
Filed under: uncultured bacterium
Lineage: Bacteria
Description: partial 16S ribosomal RNA
Rfam family: Bacterial small subunit ribosomal RNA
Source: RNAcentral
CCUACGGGAGGCAGCAGUAGGGAAUCUUCCACAAUGGGCGAAAGCCUGAUGGAGCAACGCCGCGUGGGUGAAGAAGGUCUUCGGAUCGUAAAACCCUGUUGUUAGAGAAGAAAGUGCGUGAGAGUAACUGUUCACGUUUCGACGGUAUCUAACCAGAAAGCCACGGCUAACUACGUGCCAGCAGCCGCGGUAAUACGUAGGUGGCAAGCGUUGUCCGGAUUUAUUGGGCGUAAAGGGAACGCAGGCGGUCUUUUAAGUCCAAUGUGAAAGCCUUCGGCUUACCCGGGGUAGUGCAUUGGAAACUGGGAGACUUGAGUGCAGAAGAGGAGAGAGGAACUCGAUGUGUAGCGGUGAAAUGCGUAGAUAUAUGGAAGAACACCGGUGGCGAAAGCGGCUUUCUGGUCUGUAACUGACGCUGAGGUUCGAAAGCGUGGGUAGCAAACAGGAUUAGAUACCCCUGUAGUC